UCCACUCACUCACACUGUGACUCAAUUGAUCAGGCAUGAAGCAGUUAGGAUUGCACACAGAAUGUUUUAAAAAGGAAGAAGCUCUAUUUUCACUGAGGAGCUGAUUGGGAAAGGAUGGGGAACUGCAUUAAAUUCCCCUUUCUCCUCUUCCUGAAGAGCAUUGUAACCCUGCUAAAGCGUUCUUUAAAAAGGACUCCUUGUCUACCAUCUCAGCUGCUGUGUUACAGAGGAGAGACAUGUCUGAACUGCUUAGCUGCACAUGUGGCCCCCCAUCUAGCUAGAGGGCAUAUGCUUUGAAACCCCAGUUAGAUUUGGUGGCUACACUUUAUAACAUUUUUUUUCCUGUGAUGACACAAUGCAUCAGGAUUUAGUGGGUGGAUGACUGAAACCACUAAGUAGCAUAGGAGCAGCUGCCCUCCUGACAUCUCCUGCUGCUUAUGUGGAUGGGACCAGGAUGGAGCAUUGGCAAGGAUGGACGCACAAUUCUAAAUUACGAAUGCGUCACAAAAUAUCCAUUUCAAUGUGGAUUUUUAGGACGAAGAGGUAGUAGCCCCCAAGAUUUUAUGCGGAGAGGUCCACAAAAGCACAAUUCUGACAGGAAGGAGAAAGAAGAAUGAAUAAUAAUGCUGUAGGACAGAGAGAAAAAUCAGAGCAUUUAAAACAGGAUAAAUGUAAUGGUUUGACAAAGAGAAAAAAUGACCGCAGAAAAACAUGGAUAGACAUGUUCAUCAUAAAAUAUACUGUAGGCAGUAGUAUUCUGCAAUCUGACGAUCUGAUCAACAUCAAUAAAAAUAUAAUUCCAUAA
Molecule: long non-coding RNA, 805 nt
Organism: Podarcis raffonei (Aeolian wall lizard)
Lineage: Eukaryota; Metazoa; Chordata; Lepidosauria; Squamata; Lacertidae
Exons: 3
Source: RefSeq, a predicted model, not a curated record